This 93-nucleotide ribosomal RNA is filed under the name Sulfurimonas sp. RNAcentral describes it as "partial 16S ribosomal RNA". It matches the Rfam family "Bacterial small subunit ribosomal RNA", at positions 1 to 92 of the family's 1533-position model. The record is from RNAcentral. Lineage: Bacteria; Pseudomonadati; Campylobacterota; Epsilonproteobacteria; Campylobacterales; Sulfurimonadaceae.
AUUAUGGAGAGUUUGAUCCUGGCUCAGAGUGAACGCUGGCGGCGUGCUUAACACAUGCAAGUCGAACGAUGAAGAAGAGCUUGCUUUUCUGAU